RNAcentral lists this long non-coding RNA (5104 nucleotides) under Sus scrofa (pig). RNAcentral's name for it is "lncRNA (ENSSSCG00000055897.1)". Lineage: Eukaryota; Metazoa; Chordata; Mammalia; Artiodactyla; Suidae. The record is from RNAcentral.
CACAUAAAGAAUGAAAGAAAACAGAGAAGUCUAUGCUGGCAUCUCAUCAAAAAUGAGGUUUGGAGAAUUAGGCCAGACAAAAUGUUUGCAACCCUCUACACAGUCAGAGGCAGCAGGAACCCUGCAAAUAAUUAAAUAGAAAUUUGAGUUUAAUAUACAAUCUUUUGCUCAAUAUGUGACACUGAGUAUUGUACCUUUGAUAUGAAAAUAUGUCGGUAUGAGAGCAUGUCUCUCAAUCUGCAGGCUGUGUGUUUGUAAUAAAUUCUGCUAAUGAAUUUGAGUAUUAAUGUUCAGUUUCUUAUGCCCAAGGUGAACUCAGACUUAUUAGUAAAUUUCACAGACCUGGGUAAGCAAAUAGUCAUUUGUGUGCUGACUUCAUUUUUUUUUUCCAAUUAGGAGAUGUCAUUCAGAGAAGAAUAGUUCUGUUCUAUGCUAUAGUUUUGGCUCAGUCCAAAUUCAAAUAAUUAGUAGGUUAUAGUAGUUUUUGACCAGGUGGUUUUAGUGGGGCUUAAAUUAUUCAUAAGUUAUUUUACUCAAAAUAGUGAAGAAAAUAUAUUAGUUUAAUUAAAAAAUUAAAUAUAAAUUGAAUAAAGUAAAAUAAUGGUGAAUUGAAUAUAGUAAAAUAAUGGUGAGGAGAGGGAAAGUUAGUAGUAUGAUUUCUUUUUAGAAUGGCAUGAAGUAAGUAAAAUAACAAACAUUGACACAGGAUGUUGGGAUAGGGGCCUGAUCUGAAAGGACAUGAGAAAAUUAUAAAGCUGCCAAGCUAGAAAAACAAUAAUAUAUACAGAGAGUUAUUAUUUCCUCAGCAUCUUUGCUUUUUAAUGGAAUAUUUCUUUCUGCAGUAAUCAAUGUAUUUAGUGGAAUGCUUUUUACUUUAAAAUGCAGAUGUACUUCUGGCAACUCAGCCUGAACUGGCCUUGUGGUAGGUUGUACUAUUGUUUAAAAAGGAACUGGUUGUAAAAAUAAGUCUUCAUUUCAAUGGAAGAAUUUAUUGUUCCAAUAAAAGGAAAGGCUCCCCAAAGUUAAAAUAUAUAUGUAUAGUAAAAUAACCAAGAGAAAUUAAGGUUAAUAGCAGCAUUUGACAAAUUCCCUACAGGUUUUUUUCAAGGCUUAUUUUAGCAUAACAUUUGUGAUUUUGCUUCUUGAACAACAUAAAUUUAUAACAGAAUUAUUUUAAAAGUCUAUGCCAACAUUUAAAAAUAACCUAAACUUGCUACUUAAAAAUACAUGAAGAUUAGGAUGUAUAAAUAAAAUACGUCACAGCAUCUCAAUGGAAAACUACAUAGUGGUGAGGAUGAACCUAGAACAGUAUGUAGAACGGGAGGUGAGUCUCAUCGUCUCAUGUCUAAUGUUGAGCAAAAGAAGCAGACAUAAAAGAAUACAUACUACAGCAUUCCUUUUGUAUUAGGGGAGAAAAUCACACAACUAAUCUAUGCUUAUGUCAUGAAUAUGUCUACCUUUUCAGGAGUAGUGACGGGAAAAAAGAAAUUUUGGCGUGCUGGUAAUGUUCUGUAAAUUGAUCUGGGGACAUGCUUUAUGUAUAAACAGAUAUAAAAUAUCAUUUGUAGGAGUUUCUGUUGUGGUGCAGCGGAAAUGAAUCCCCUAGUAUCCAUGAGGAUGCGGAUUCCAUCACUCGCCUCACUCAGUGGGUUGGGGAUCUGGUGUUGCCUUGAGCUGUGGUGUAGGUCGCAGAUGCAGCUCAGAUCCUGCAUUGCUCUGGCUGUGGUGUAGGCCAGCAGCUACAGCUCUGAUUCAACUCCUAGCCUGGGACUGCCAUAUGCCACUGGUAUGGCCCUAAAAAAAGCAAAAUAUCUAUAUCUAUAUAAUUUAUAAAGUAAAAACAAAAAUAUAUAUAUUACCUAAGUAAUUAUUUAAAAGCCUUUAGUGAGAAACUGCCCUAGAAGACUGGAAACCUGCUUCUGUUUUCUCCCUCAAAAAUGACUGUCAUGGCUCAGCAGGUUCUAUCCCUGGCCUCUCUCACUGGGUUAAGGAUCUGGUAUUGCCAUGAGCUAUGGUGUAAGUCCCAGACAUGGCUCGGAUCCAGAGUUGCUGUGGCUGUGUUGUAGGCCAGCAGGUAUAGCUCUGAUUCGACCCCUAGCCUGGGAACCUCCAUAUGCCACAGGUGUGGCCCUAAAAAGACCAAAAAAAAAAUGACUGAAUAAUUUUCCCCAGUAUGUUGCUCCACUUCAUUAUUUUUUAAACUUCUUCAGUCACCAUUAAAUUGAUAAUUUAAUUUAAAAAUUAUUGAAGUAUUUGUUAUGAAUUAUUCUUUAUUAUAUCUUGCAUGUAGACAUAGCCCUUCCAUUUUGAAUCACAGCCAUGGAUAAAAUUAAAAUCUCUACCUUGGUAACAGUAGUUACCAAAUUUUUUUUUCCUGCUCAUAUUUAAGGAGUGGCCUGAGGACCUAGAAUAAGUGAUGUAAAUCUCUUGUUUUUACUGGACUUAAGUUGGCUUGGAAUGCAUGUAGUAUAUUUUUGAAUUAUGCAAUAUAUUGAAGCCAAAAACAUUUCUUUCCAGCAAGGGAGAUUCUAACCAUGUAAUUGAAAGAAAUGGGUCAUAAACAGCCUAUGAAUAUGUGUUUCAGUUACAUUUCAUUCAAAUUAACUUUGGGGAUAUAUUUCCACAUAGAUUAUGAUAUGAAGUGUUAAAAAUAAAGAAAUUAUCUCUUGUAAAGAUAAUGACUCAUUUUCCCCCAUUCAGAUUAAACUUUACUAUUUGUUUUGAAUUUUUUCCUCAAAGAUAACUUAGUCAAUUAUUCCAAAUAUUGGAAAAUUCUUUUUGUGAUAUUGAUUGUCACAUGUGGUGACUGAGAGAUAUAUCCUGGGGGAGUCCUUCACAGUUGGACAUGUGUCCUUGAUGCUAAUAAGUUUAACUCAUAAGGGGGCAGUCCCUGCCUUCCCAUCCUGAGAUGGCAGUCUGAUUUAAAGAUCUCACCAAUCUUUUGGAGGCAUAACAUAAGCAUCCUAGCAAAGACUGCUACCAAUAGAGCAUCUCUUUUGCGCCCCCAGCAGAUAAGCAGCCUUUACUCAAUUUGAACGGACAUUGAGGGGAAAAGCUGAUAAACUGUCCCCAAGGAAAAUUAGAGCAGAACGCGUUCUUGCCAGUUUCUCAACAUUCUCAAUGUUCUUGGAAUUUCUCAAUUUAUAUUAACCCUCAGCAACUCAUACACGAAACACAGUAGUUUGUCCCAUUAAAACAGAUCUAAAAAUUACGACCCCGAUAAGGAAAACAGCAACAAUAACAACAACGACAAGAGGAAGGAAACUUUGAUUUCAUGGAAAUCAAAGUUUGGCAAGGCACACUUUCUGUUUUUAAGACAUACAUCUGAUAGGGUGAGCAGGCUUGUCGACAAAAAAUCACAAGGAUGUGAUUAAUGAACCCUAUUGUCACCAUCAUGUUUUAUAUAUAUAAUAUAAAUAUUAGAAGUUAUCACUGUUGUUGAAUAUUUUUAUAGUCAGCUCUAACAAAAAAGAGCCAGAAAAGAGCUAAUGAGGCAUUGCUUGACCAAAGACUUGAAGGAGAAGAAAUAAUAUUCUAGAAGUGGACCAUAUGGAAAAUGGAGGAACAGUGUUCCUGCAAAGGGAAUAGCUUAUGCAAAGGCAUGGAAGCAUUGAAUAGUUUUCAUCAUAGAACUUUCAUAGAACUUUAUGGUGGGAGUUUGAUUUUUUCUAGAGUCACACAACUCUUUUAAUGAGCUCACUUGGUCAAGUUUACUACUCUUUGCAUAGCAUCUUUCUCCUACUUUCUAAGUAUCUGGGUUUGUCCAACAUAUUGAGCUUCCUGAAUACGGUUUAGUUUAGCAGUUACUAUGACCCCCACCCCCAAACUCAAAAGAAAGGGCAACCAGCCCUCUUUUUGAAAUCAGAUCAUAUGCAAAUAGUGCUGGGGCUAAAAUAAUGAAGGCAGUUGUAAUAUAUAAAUAACUACAUUUAAAAUAGUGUCACUCUUGGGCCAAAAUUGGACUAUUGUAAAACAGUGCAUAAAUAACCGUCAUUUAAGUUGUUGAGGAGUUCAACAACUUAGUCCUUUUGUCAAUUUCCUGAAGCAAGGAAAAUGGAAUACUCCCUUACUUGUUCAUGGUUCAGUUUCAGCCCCUUUGGUAAUUCGUAUGAUUUUAUCCAGACAGCAAUCUUCUAGACUUGACAGUGAGGCUACAGCAAUUAUUUUAAAAGUGUAUUUGAAUAUCUGAUAAUGUUUUAUUUUUAUUUUUAAAGAUGGUGUGUUUACUAGAAAUGGUUUGUGAGGUAGCUAAGGGAGUUUGGAGCAGUAGAACUUGAAAUCUCCCAUGUCACAUAUAGUGACAACAUGGUUAGAGGCCAGUUUCCUUCUAACCACAGUAAAUACAGCAAGCCUUCCCGGUAGCUUAUUGCUCAUUGUAAUUGAGCAGCUAUGUGCACACCAUGCACAGAACCAAAUUAGAGGCAGCACUCAGGCUUUGUGACCUUUUGCAAACUGGGAUCCAGUAUCUCCCUCCUGGCUUCACAUUCAUGUAUCUGAAAAGCAAACAUGAGUUUGUUCCUCAAAAUGGAAGCCUGAUGUCUAAUGAAUUAUUUUCCAAAAUGAAGGGACUUGAGACUACUAUAUUGACAAGUCUGAAAACUUGUUUAUUGAAUGAAUGGGUCUACAUGAGUACAUGUAUUGAGAUGGCCUUAGCUGCAGUGAUUUAAGACUCAUAAGCUUCUUGGCCAAUGACAUGUUCUGUGAUGUAACCCAACAGUCUCUGAAGGAAGGAAGAAUAGCCACUCCCCAAAAUACUACUAUGUGGGUUUUUUACAACCACAUCUGCAGCAUGUGGAUGUUCCUGGGCUAGGGGGUCAAACUGCAGCUGCAGCCACAGCCACAGCAACACCAGAUCCUAGCCAAAUCUGUGGCCUGUGCCACAUCUGUGGCAACACCAAAUCCUAAACUACCCAGGGAGGCCAAGGAUCAAACCCACAUCCUCACAGACACUGUUGGGUUCUUAACCCACUCAGCCACAGUGGGGUCUCUGCUAUGUGGAUUCUUGAUGUAAAUGCACACAAGUUCAAGUCAGGUCUAUAUAGUCUAAUUCUAAUGAACUUCAGACAAAAUGACUGUUUAUGGACAUGCAGUAGCAUUAGGGAUU